CACGUAGGGCGCAAGCGUUGUCCGGAAUUAUUGGGCGUAAAGAGCUCGUAGGCGGUCUGUUGCGUCCGCUGUGAAAACCCGGGGCUUAACCCUGGGCUGGCAGUGGAUACGGACAGACUAGAGGUAGGUAGGGGAGAAUGGAAUUCCUGGUGUAGCGGUGAAAUGCGCAGAUAUCAGGAGGAACACCGGUGGCGAAGGCGGAUCUCUGGGCCAUUACUGACGCUGAGGAGCGAAAGCGUGGGGAGCGAACAGG
RNAcentral lists this ribosomal RNA (253 nucleotides) under uncultured bacterium. RNAcentral describes it as "partial 16S ribosomal RNA". It matches the Rfam family "Bacterial small subunit ribosomal RNA", at positions 524 to 776 of the family's 1533-position model. The record is from RNAcentral.